UACGGAAGGCAGCAGUGGGGAAUAUUGCACAAUGGGCGAAAGCCUGAUGCAGCUAUGCCGCGUGUAUGAAGAAGGCCUUAGGGUUGUAAAGUACUUUCAUCGGGGAGGAAAAAACAAAACUAAUAAUUUUAUUUCUUGACGUUACCCGAAAAAGAAGCACCGGCUAACUCCGUGCCAGCAGCCGCGGUAAUACGGAGGGUGCUAGCGUUAAUCAGAAUUACUGGGCGUAAAGAGCACGUAGGUGGUUUUUUUAAGUCAGAUGUGAAAUCCCUGGGCUUAACCUAGGAACUGCAUUUUGAAACUGAAAUACUAGAGUAUCGUAGGGGGAGGUAGAAUUCUAGGUGUAGCGGUGAAAUGCGUAGAUAUCUGGAGGAAUACCUGUGGCGAAAGCGGCCUCCUAAACGAAUACUGACACUGAGGGUGCGAAAAGCGUGGGGAGCAAAACAGGGAUUAGAUACC
RNAcentral lists this ribosomal RNA (459 nucleotides) under uncultured bacterium. Its description in RNAcentral is "bacterial SSU rRNA". It matches the Rfam family "Bacterial small subunit ribosomal RNA", at positions 340 to 786 of the family's 1533-position model. The record is from RNAcentral.